GCGGCUAUGGCUCAGUGGUAGAGAGCAGCAGUCUCGUAACCAGGAGGUCCUGGGUUCAAGACCAAGUUGAAGCG
This 74-nucleotide transfer RNA is filed under the name Strongylocentrotus purpuratus (purple sea urchin). It matches the Rfam family "tRNA". From Rfam's summary of the family: Transfer RNA (tRNA) molecules are approximately 80 nucleotides in length. Their secondary structure includes four short double-helical elements and three loops (D, anti-codon, and T loops). Further hydrogen bonds mediate the characteristic L-shaped molecular structure. tRNAs have two regions of fundamental functional importance: the anti-codon, which is responsible for specific mRNA codon recognition, and the 3' end, to which the tRNAs corresponding amino acid is attached (by aminoacyl-tRNA synthetases). tRNAs cope with the degeneracy of the genetic code in two manners: having more than one tRNA (with a specific anti-codon) for a particular amino acid; and 'wobble' base-pairing, i.e. permitting non-standard base-pairing at the 3rd anti-codon position. The record is from Rfam by way of RNAcentral. Lineage: Eukaryota; Metazoa; Echinodermata; Echinoidea; Camarodonta; Strongylocentrotidae.